Molecule: ribosomal RNA, 253 nt
Filed under: uncultured bacterium
Lineage: Bacteria
Description: partial 16S ribosomal RNA
Rfam family: Bacterial small subunit ribosomal RNA
Source: RNAcentral
UACGGAGGGGGCUAGCGUUGUUCGGAAUUACUGGGCGUAAAGCGCACGUAGGCGGCUUUGUAAGUUAGAGGUGAAAGCCCGGGGCUCAACCCCGGAAUUGCCUUUAAGACUGCAUCGCUAGAAUUGUGGAGAGGUAAGUGGAAUUCCGAGUGUAGAGGUGGAAUUCGUAGAUAUUCGGAAGAACACCAGUGGCGAAGGCGACUUACUGGACACAUAUUGACGCUGAGGUGCGAAAGCGUGGGGAGCAAACAGG